GGGCCUGUAGCUCAGCCUGGCUAGAGCGGUGGACUUUUAAUCCAUAGGUCGCGAGUUCAAAGAACCUUUCUUCGGGUUGCCA
This 82-nucleotide transfer RNA is filed under the name Microcaldota archaeon. RNAcentral describes it as "Candidatus Micrarchaeota archaeon (hot springs metagenome) tRNA-Lys". It matches the Rfam family "tRNA". From Rfam's summary of the family: Transfer RNA (tRNA) molecules are approximately 80 nucleotides in length. Their secondary structure includes four short double-helical elements and three loops (D, anti-codon, and T loops). Lineage: Archaea; Nanobdellati; Microcaldota. The record is from RNAcentral.